RNAcentral lists this ribosomal RNA (155 nucleotides) under Staphylococcus pseudintermedius. RNAcentral's name for it is "partial 16S ribosomal RNA". It matches the Rfam family "Bacterial small subunit ribosomal RNA", at positions 1 to 150 of the family's 1533-position model. The record is from RNAcentral. Lineage: Bacteria; Bacillati; Bacillota; Bacilli; Caryophanales; Staphylococcaceae.
UUUAUGGAGAGUUUGAUCCUGGCUCAGGAUGAACGCUGGCGGCGUGCCUAAUACAUGCAAGUCGAGCGAACAGAUAAGGAGCUUGCUCCUUUGACGUUAGCGGCGGACGGGUGAGUAACACGUGGGUAACCUACCUAUAAGACUGGAAUAACUCC